RNAcentral lists this ribosomal RNA (1964 nucleotides) under human gut metagenome. Its description in RNAcentral is "bacterial LSU rRNA". It matches the Rfam family "Bacterial large subunit ribosomal RNA", at positions 3 to 2007 of the family's 2925-position model. The record is from RNAcentral.
UUAAGCAAUGAAGGGCGCACGGUGAAUGCCUUGGCACUAGGAGCCGAUGAAGGACGCGACGAACAGCGAUAUGCUUCGGGGAGCGGUAAGUACGCUAAGAACCGGAGAUUUCCGAAUGGGGGAACCCGAUACGGAUAGACCCGUAUCACUCGAAAGAGAGGUAGACGCAGAGAACUGAAACAUCUAAGUACCUGCAGGAAAAGAAAAUAAGAAUGAUUCCCUAAGUAGCGGCGAGCGAACGGGGAAGAGCCCAAACCAGCGUGCAUGCACGUUGGGGUUGAAGGACUCCAGGAAAGACUGAAACACUUAGUCGAAGCCCAUGGGAAGGGGCGGCGAAGCGGGUGAGACCCCCUUAGACGAAAAGUGAGACAGCUUAGGAGUAUCCUGAGUACGGCGGGACACGAGAAAUCCCGUCGGAAUCCACCAGGACCAUCUGGUAAGGCUAAAUACUCCCUAGUGACCGAUAGUGAACCAGUACCGUGAGGGAAAGGUGAAAAGCACCCCGGGAGGGGAGUGAAAGAGUACCUGAAACCGUGUGCUUACAAGUAGUCAGAGCCCGUUAAGGGGUGAUGGCGUGCCUUUUGUAGAAUGAACCGGCGAGUGACGAUUUGUGGCGAGGUUAAGUUGAAGAAACGGAGCCGAAGCGAAAGCGAGUCUGAAUAGGGCGAGAGUCAAAGGUCGUCGACCCGAAACCAGGUGACCUACCCAUGUGCAGGUUGAAGGUGUGGUAAGACACACUGGAGGACCGAACUAGGACAUGUUGAAAAAUGUUUAGAUGACGUGUGGGUAGCGGAGAAAUUCCAAUCGAACUUGGAGAUAGCUGGUUCUCUCCGAAAUAUAUUUAGGUAUAGCCUCAGAGGAUGAGAGAUGGAGGUAGAGCACUGUUUGGACUAGGGGCCCACACGGGUUACUGAAUCUAGAUAAACUCCGAAUGCCAACUUGUUAACUCUGGGAGUCAGACGGCGAGUGAUAAGAUCCGUCGUCGAAAGGGAAACAGCCCAGCCCACCAGCUAAGGUCCCAAAGUACUUGUUAAGUGGAAAAGGAUGUGGGGUUGCAUAGACAGCUAGGAUGUUGGCUUAGAAGCAGCCAUCAUUGAAAGAGUGCGUAAUAGCUCACUAGUCGAGUGACCCUGCGCCGAAAAUGUACCGGGGCUAAACAAGACACCGAAGCUGUGGAUUUACUUUAGAGUAAGUGGUAGGAGAGCGUUCUAUGUGCGGCGAAGGGGUACCGUAAGGAGCCUUGGAGCGCAUAGAAGUGAGAAUGCCGGUAUGAGUAGCGAAAGAUGGGUGAGAAUCCCAUCCACCGAUAGACUAAGGUUUCCAGGGGAAGGCUCGUCCGCCCUGGGUUAGUCGGGACCUAAGCAAAAGCCGAACGGCGUAUGCGAUGGAUAACAGGUAGAGAUUCCUGUACUUGGGAAGACGUUUGAGCAAUGGAGGGACACAGGAGGUAAGUCCACGCAGGCGGAUGGAAGAGCCUGUAGAAGCAGUGAGUGUGCGAGUGAGUCAAAUGCUUAGUCGCAGAAAGCAUGAGCUGUGACCUGGAGCGAAGUAAAAGUAGCGAAGGUGGAUCAUCAAACUGUCGAGAAAAGCUUCUAGCGAGUCGAACCAACCCGUACCGCAAACCGACACAGGUAGUCAAGUAGAGAAUACUGAGGUGAGCGAGAGAACUCUCGUUAAGGAACUCGGCAAAAUGACCCCGUAACUUCGGGAGAAGGGGUGCACACGCAAGUGUGCCGCAGUGAAUAGGCCCAGGCGACUGUUUAUCAAAAACACAGGUUUCUGCUAAAUCGAAAGAUGAUGUAUAGGAGCUGACGCCUGCCCGGUGCUGGAAGGUUAAGAGGAGUGCUUAGCUUCGGCGAAGGUACGAAUUGAAGCCCCAGUAAACGGCGGCCGUAACUAUAACGGUCCUAAGGUAGCGAAAUUCCUUGUCGGGUAAGUUCCGACCCGCACGAAAGGCGUAACGA